CGUAGGUGGCAAGCGUUGUCCGGAUUUAUUGGGUUUAAAGGGUGCGUAGGCGGUCCUAUAAGUCAGUUGUGAAAUACGGCAGCUUAACUGUCGAGGUGCAAUUGAUACUGCAGGACUUGAGUACAGACGAGGUAGGCGGAAUUGACGGUGUAGCGGUGAAAUGCUUAGAUAUCGUCAAGAACACCGAUAGCGAAGGCAGCUUACUAGACCGUAACUGACGCUGAUGCACGAAAGUGUGGGGAUCAAACAGGAUUAGAUACCCUGGUAGUCCACACUGUAAACGAUGAUUACUCGAUGUUGGCGAUACACAGCCAGCGUCUUAGCAAAAGCGAUAAGUAAUCCACCUGGGGAGUACGCCGGCAACGGUG
RNAcentral lists this ribosomal RNA (368 nucleotides) under uncultured organism. Its description in RNAcentral is "bacterial SSU rRNA". It matches the Rfam family "Bacterial small subunit ribosomal RNA", at positions 526 to 896 of the family's 1533-position model. The record is from RNAcentral.